AGCUUUGCACAGUGGCAGCAUCAUAGCCAAUGAGGUUUAUUCGAGGCGUGAUUAUUGCUAAUUAAAAACUUUUCUCAAACUGUUUUGUUCCUUUCUGUUUGCCUUGUGAUUUUUUUUUUUUGAAAG
This 126-nucleotide small nuclear RNA is filed under the name Canis lupus familiaris (dog). RNAcentral's name for it is "U4 spliceosomal RNA (ENSCAFG00000049333.2, ENSCAFG00845010013.1)". It matches the Rfam family "U4 spliceosomal RNA". Rfam says of the family: U4 small nuclear RNA (U4 snRNA) is a component of the major U2-dependent spliceosome. Lineage: Eukaryota; Metazoa; Chordata; Mammalia; Carnivora; Canidae. RNAcentral also lists the same sequence under 1 other name. The record is from Rfam by way of RNAcentral.